GAUCAUGGCUCAGGAUGAACGCUAGCUACAGGCUUAACACAUGCAAGUCGAGGGGCAGCAUGAACUUAGCUUGCUAAGUUUGAUGGCGGCCGGCGCACGGGUGAGUAACACGUAUCCAACCUGCCGAUGACUCGGGGAUAGCCUUUCGAAAGAAAGAUUAAUACCCGAUGGCAUAGUUCUUCCGCAUGGUGGAACUAUUAAAGAAUUUCGGUCAUCGAUGGGGAUGCGUUACAUUAGG
RNAcentral lists this ribosomal RNA (238 nucleotides) under uncultured bacterium. RNAcentral describes it as "partial 16S ribosomal RNA". It matches the Rfam family "Bacterial small subunit ribosomal RNA", at positions 15 to 245 of the family's 1533-position model. The record is from RNAcentral.